AUUGAACGCUGGCGGCAGGCCUAACACAUGCAAGUCGAACGAGUGGCGGACGGGUGAGUACUGUCUGGGAAACUGCCCGAUGGAGGGGGAUCACUACUGGAAACGGUAGCUAAUACCGCAUACCAUCAGAUGUUCCCCGAUGGGAUUAGCUAGUUGGUGGGGUAACGGCUCACCAAGGCGACGAUCCCUAGCUGGUCUGAGAGGAUGACCAGCCACACGGGAACGGAGACACGGUCCAGACUCCUACGGGAGGCAGCAGUGGGGAAUAUUGCACAAUGGGCGCAAGCCUGAUGCAGCCAGGCGGCGUGUAUGAAGAAGGCCUUCGGGUUGUAAAGUACUUUCAGCGGGGAGGCGUUACCCGCAGAAGAAGCACCGGCUAACGCCGUGCCAGCAGCCGCGGUAAUGC
RNAcentral lists this ribosomal RNA (406 nucleotides) under uncultured bacterium. Its description in RNAcentral is "partial 16S ribosomal RNA". It matches the Rfam family "Bacterial small subunit ribosomal RNA", at positions 29 to 526 of the family's 1533-position model. The record is from RNAcentral.